This 529-nucleotide long non-coding RNA is filed under the name Rattus norvegicus (Norway rat). Its description in RNAcentral is "long non-coding RNA NONRATT010666". Lineage: Eukaryota; Metazoa; Chordata; Mammalia; Rodentia; Muridae. The record is from RNAcentral.
UACGUUCGCAUUUGUCCUUUUGUUUUGCUUUACAUGGAAGGAAACCUAACAUACAUUCUUUGGUUGUAAUAUAAGAAUCGAAAAAUAUUGAAAGAGAUUAACUGUCAGAAUGGUGAGAGCACAGACACAAACGGCAGCCGGCACACAGAUAACCCGGGUGAGAGUUUUAGAGUAACAGACAUCUUUACAAAGGGUUCAGGGAAAAUUUUAAAAUUAGCCUUUUCGUGUAAGCAAAAGAUAAAACAUCUGGGCAAGUGGGAUAGGCACCAAUACCAACAAGACGCCGCCCGCUCUCACCUCGCGGCUCGGAGAUGCCCUGACCUGGCUGCUUCCGGGUGGAGGUCUGCAGUGCGACCAGAGCGGCUGCACUUAAGUUCGCCAAGUUUUCCACUGGGCGCCUCCCCAACCCGGUUUUCUCAGACUUUUCCCUCCGCCCUGCCCAGGCCCCCGGGCUUUCCAGCUUCCUGCCCCCGCGCCGCCGAGGGCGAGCCCAGAGGAGCCCGUCACCCAGCCCCGCCACACGCGGCCG